GGUUUGGCUGUUCGCCAAUUAAAGCGGUACGCGAGCUGGGUUUAGACCGUCGUGAGACAGGUCGGUCCCUAUCUGCUGUGGGUGUAGGAGAUUUGAGAAGGUUUGCCCUUAGUACGAGAGGAUUGGGGCGGACGAACCUAUGGUGCUCCAGUUGUCACGCCAGUGGCAUAGCUGGGUAGCUACGUUCGGAAAGGAUAAGCGCUGAAAGCAUAUAAGC
This 217-nucleotide ribosomal RNA is filed under the name Moneuplotes crassus. Its description in RNAcentral is "partial Bacterial large subunit ribosomal RNA". It matches the Rfam family "Bacterial large subunit ribosomal RNA", at positions 2570 to 2786 of the family's 2925-position model. The record is from RNAcentral. Lineage: Eukaryota; Ciliophora; Spirotrichea; Euplotida; Euplotidae.